This 279-nucleotide ribosomal RNA is filed under the name uncultured bacterium. Its description in RNAcentral is "partial 16S ribosomal RNA". It matches the Rfam family "Bacterial small subunit ribosomal RNA", at positions 506 to 784 of the family's 1533-position model. The record is from RNAcentral.
UGCCAGCCGCCGCGGUAAUACGGAGGAUGCAAGCGUUAUCCGGAAUCAUUGGGUUUAAAGGGUCCGUAGGCGGAUAAUUAAGUCAGUGGUGAAAUCUCGGGGCUCAACCCCGAAACUGCCAUUGAUACUGAUAAACUUGAGUUCAGUUGGAGUAGGCGGAAUGUGUAGUGUAGCGGUGAAAUGCUUAGAUAUUACACAGAACACCGAUGGCGAAGGCAUCUCUCUGGGUCGAUAUUGACGCUGAGGCGCGAAGGCGUGGGUAGCGAGCGGGAUUAGAUA